CCGCCACACACACUGCCCCACACGCACAGCCCUACUGUCCACCCCCACACAGUCCCACAUCCCCACACUGCCCUUCUGUACACCCCCACCCCACACACCCUGCCCUGCUGUACACCCCCACACACACUGCCCCACACGCACAGCCCUACUGUCCACCCCCACACAGUCCCACAUCCCCACACUACCCUUCUGUACACCCCCACCCCACACACCCUCCCCUCCUGUACGCCCCCCCACACACUGCCCCACAUGCACAGCCCUACUGUCCACCCCCACACAGUCCCACAUCCCCACACUGCCCUUCUGUACACCCCCACCCCACACACCCUGCCCUGCUGUACACCCCCCACACACACUGCCCCACACACACAGCCCUACUGUCCACCCCCAAACAGUCCCACAUCCUCACACCGCCCUUCUGUACACCCCCACCCCACACACCCUGCCCUGCUGUACACCCCCACACAAACUGCCCCACACGCACAGCCCUACUGUCCACCCCCACACAGUCCCACAUCCUCACAUCGCCCUUCUGUACACCCCCACCCCACACACCCUGCCCUCCUGUACAUAGCCCACACACUGCCCCACAUGCACAGCCCUACUGUCUACCCUCGCACAGUCCCACAUCCUCACACCGCCCUUCUGUCCAGCCCCACCCCACACACCCUGCCCUGCUGUACACCCCCCCACACACUGCCCCACACGCACAGCCCUACUGUCCACCCCCACAGGCCCACAUCCCAACACUGCCCUUCUGUACACCCCCAUCCCACACACUGCCCUGCUGUACACCCCCACACACGCACAGCCCUACUGUCCACCCCCACACAGUCCCACAUCCUCACAUCGCCCUUCUGUACACCCCCACUCCACACAUCCUGCCCUCCUGUACACAGCCCACACACUGCCCCACAUGCACAGCCCUACUGUCUACCCUCGCACAGUCCCACAUCCUCACACCGCCCUUCUGUACACCCCCACCCCACACACCCUGCCCUGCUGUACACCCCCACACACACUGCCCCACAUGCACAGCCCUACUGUCCACCCCCACACAGUCCCAAUUUCCCACACUGCCCUUCUGUACACCCCCAUCCCACACACUGCCCUGCUGUACACCCCCCCACACACUGCCCCACAUGCACAGCCCUACUGUCCACCCCCACACAGUCCCACAUCCUCACACUGCCCUUCUGUACACCCCCACCCCACACACCCUGCCCUGCUGUACACCCCCACACACACUGCCCCACACGCACAGCCCUACUGUCCACCCCCACAGGCCCACAUCCCAACACUGCCCUUCUG
RNAcentral lists this long non-coding RNA (1311 nucleotides) under Gopherus evgoodei (Goodes thornscrub tortoise). RNAcentral's name for it is "lncRNA (ENSGEVG00005000724.1)". Lineage: Eukaryota; Metazoa; Chordata; Testudines; Testudinidae. The record is from RNAcentral.